UAGGGAAUCUUCCACAAUGGACGCAAGUCUGAUGGAGCAACGCCGCGUGAGUGAAGAAGGUUUUCGGACCGUAAAGCUCUGUUGUUGGUGAAGAAGGAUAGAGGUAGUAACUGGCCUUUAUUUGACGGUAAUCAACCAGAAAGUCACGGCUAACUACGUGCCAGCAGCCGCGGUAAUACGUAGGUGGCAAGCGUUGUCCGGAUUUAUUGGGCGUAAAGCGAGCGCAGGCGGAAGAAUAAGUCUGAUGUGAAAGCCCUCGGCUUAACCGAGGAAUUGCAUCGGAAACUGUUUUUCUUGAGUGCAGAAGAGGAGAGUAGAACUCCAUGUGUAGCGGUGGAAUGCGUAGAUAUAUGGAAGAAUACCAGUGGCGAAGGCGGCUCUCUGGUCUGCAACUGACGCUGAGGCUCGAAAGCAUGGGUAGCGAACAGGAUUAGAUACCCUGGUAGUCCAUGCCGUAAAACGAUGAGUGCUAAGUGUUGGGAGGCUUCCGCCUCUCAGUGCUGCAGCUAACGCAUUAAGCACUCCGCCUGGGGGAGUACGACCGCAAAGGUUGAA
Molecule: ribosomal RNA, 555 nt
Filed under: uncultured bacterium
Lineage: Bacteria
Description: partial 16S ribosomal RNA
Rfam family: Bacterial small subunit ribosomal RNA
Source: RNAcentral